Molecule: long non-coding RNA, 321 nt
Organism: Melospiza melodia melodia
Lineage: Eukaryota; Metazoa; Chordata; Aves; Passeriformes; Passerellidae
Exons: 3
Source: RefSeq, a predicted model, not a curated record
CUCAUGUCCUGGGUCACACCUUCUUUCUCCACACACAAAUCCUGUGCCAGCUGGGAAACCUCUCAACAGGAGCAAGCACACACCACUGGAACAGCUCUCAACAGUCAGUUUGACACAUCAUGAACAUGUAGCAAACUCUAAAUGUGCUUCUGCUGGACCAAGAACUUUGCCUGUAUGUUCACCAUGAGAGCACCUUGAGAAGUCUGACAAGCUGCUUUUUGGCUUUCAUCCUACUGACUACUGACCUACAGACACCUUUGCUUAUCAAGAGGAGAAACAGAUCUUCAAUCUGCCACUUAACCAGAGCCAUUCCCGAGCGAG